GAUGAACGCUGGCGGCGUGCCUAAUACAUGCAAGUCGAGCGAACAGACGAGGAGCUUGCUCCUCUGACGUUAGCGGCGGACGGGUGAGUAACACGUGGAUAACCUACCUAUAAGACUGGGAUAACUUCGGGAAACCGGAGCUAAUACCGGAUAAUAUAUUGAACCGCAUGGUUCAAUAGUGAAAGACGGUUUUGCUGUCACUUAUAGAUGGAUCCGCGCCGCAUUAGCUAGUUGGUAAGGUAACGGCUUACCAAGGCGACGAUGCGUAGCCGACCUGAGAAGGUGAUCGGCCACACUGGAACUGAGACACGGUCCAGACUCCUACGGGAGGCAGCAGUAGGGAAUCUUCCGCAAUGGGCGAAAGCUUGACGGAGCAACGCCGCGUGAGUGAUGAAGGUCUUCGGAUCGUAAAACUCUGUUAUUAGGGAAGAACAAAUGUGUAAGUAACUAUGCACGUCUUGACGGUACCUAAUCAGAAAGCCACGGCUAACUACGUG
RNAcentral lists this ribosomal RNA (497 nucleotides) under uncultured bacterium. Its description in RNAcentral is "partial 16S ribosomal RNA". It matches the Rfam family "Bacterial small subunit ribosomal RNA", at positions 28 to 507 of the family's 1533-position model. The record is from RNAcentral.